CCUACGGGUGGCAGCAGGGAGGAAUAUUGGUCAAUGGGCGAGAGUCUGAACCAGCCAAGUAGCGUGAAGGAUGACUGCCCUAUGGGUUGUAAACUUCUUUUAUAAAGGAAUAAAACGAGGCACGUGUGCCUUUUUGCAUGUACUUUAUGAAUAAGGAUCGGCUAACUCCGUGCCAGCAGCCGCGGUAAUACGGAGGAUCCGAGCGUUAUCCGGAUUUAUUGGGUUUAAAGGGAGCGUAGAUGGGUUGUUAAGUCAGUUGUGAAAGUUUGCGGCUCAACCGUAAAAUUGCAAUUGAUACUGGCAGUCUUUACUACAGUUGAGGUCGGCGGACUUCGUGGUGUAGCG
Molecule: ribosomal RNA, 345 nt
Filed under: uncultured bacterium
Lineage: Bacteria
Description: partial 16S ribosomal RNA
Rfam family: Bacterial small subunit ribosomal RNA
Source: RNAcentral